AAUGCCUCCAUCUCCUUUCUUUCUUACAUCCCAAUAUCCAGAUCUGAUAGAGAUGAGAUCUAAGAGAAAAAAAGAGAGAGAAGAAGAGAAGAAAAAGGGUUCUUCUUUUCUUCAUAGUGAUCUGAUUCAGAUCCCGUCGGAACUAUGCGAAAGAGUUCGCGCAGCGAUCUCUUUCUUCAAGAUCUAGAAAAAGAGAUCUAGAUCC
RNAcentral lists this long non-coding RNA (205 nucleotides) under Elaeis guineensis (African oil palm). Its description in RNAcentral is "long non-coding RNA (EGUI_LNC079860)". Lineage: Eukaryota; Viridiplantae; Streptophyta; Magnoliopsida; Arecales; Arecaceae. The record is from RNAcentral.